GUGGGGAAUAUUGGACAAUGGGUGGAACCCUGAUCCAGCCAUGCCGCGUGUGUGAAGAAGGCCUUUUGGUUGUAAAGCACUUUAAGCGAGGAGGAGGCUACCGAGAUUAAUACUCUUGGAUAGUGGACGUUACUCGCAGAAUAAGCACCGGCUAACUCUGUGCCAGCAGCCGCGGUAAUACAGAGGGUGCAAGCGUUAAUCGGAUUUACUGGGCGUAAAGCGCGCGUAGGUGGCCAAUUAAGUCAAAUGUGAAAUCCCCGAGCUUAACUUGGGAAUUGCAUUCGAUACUGGUUGGCUAGAGUAUGGGAGAGGAUGGUAGAAUUCCAGGUGUAGCGGUGAAAUGCGUAGAGAUCUGGAGGAAUACCGAUGGCGAAGGCAGCCAUCUGGCCUAAUACUGACACUGAGGUGCGAAAGCAUGGGGAGCAAACAGGAUUAGAUACCCUAGUAGUCC
This 451-nucleotide ribosomal RNA is filed under the name uncultured bacterium. Its description in RNAcentral is "partial 16S ribosomal RNA". It matches the Rfam family "Bacterial small subunit ribosomal RNA", at positions 354 to 796 of the family's 1533-position model. The record is from RNAcentral.